GGACCCUUAGCUCAGUUGGCUAGAGCGCGUCAUUGACGUUGACGAGGUCAGAGGUUCGAGUCCUCCAGGGUCCACCA
Molecule: transfer RNA, 77 nt
Filed under: compost metagenome
Description: tRNA-Val
Rfam family: tRNA
About the family: Transfer RNA (tRNA) molecules are approximately 80 nucleotides in length.
Source: RNAcentral